This is a non-coding RNA of Puma concolor (puma), 571 nucleotides long. Lineage: Eukaryota; Metazoa; Chordata; Mammalia; Carnivora; Felidae. The record is from the annotation of a RefSeq genome assembly.
UUGGGUCUCCAUCCAGAAGACAGAAAUGCAGAUGCUGUGGUCCCUCCUCUGCCUGCUGGCAGCUCCCCUGGGUGUCCUAUCUCAACUUACACUUCGGGAGUCCGGCCCAGGACUGGUGAAGCCUUCACAAUCCCUCUCUCUCACCUGCGUUGUCUCCGGAGGCUCCGUUACCAGCAGUUACUACUGGAACUGGAUCCGCCAGCGCCCUGGGAGAGGGUUGGAGUGGCUCGGGUACUGGACAGGUAGCACCAGCUACAACCCGGCUUUCCAGGGCCGCAUCUCCAUCACUGCUGACACAGCCCAAAACCAGUUCUCCCUGCAGCUGAGCUCCAUGACCACCGAGGACACGGCCGUGUAUUACUGUGCAAGAAGCACAGUGAGGGAAAACGAGAUCUCCCCCAUAACUUCUGCUCACAAUGCAGACCCAUCAGUUCGUCGGUGUCGGCUCCUGGCCAUGCGCCUCUGCCAGCUCCUGAAUGUUGUCCUCAUUCACCUCCAGUCCCCUGGUCUUCCCCAAGGACACAGCUUCAUCGACAACUGGCGGCUGCUGUUCAUGAGCAAGCCGCUCUAA